Molecule: ribosomal RNA, 450 nt
Filed under: uncultured bacterium
Lineage: Bacteria
Description: partial 16S ribosomal RNA
Rfam family: Bacterial small subunit ribosomal RNA
Source: RNAcentral
GUGGGGAAUUUUGGACAAUGGGGGCAACCCUGAUCCAGCCAUGCCGCGUGCGGGAAGAAGGCCUUCGGGUUGUAAACCGCUUUUGUCAGGGAAGAAAUCCUUUGGGUUAAUACCUCGGAGGGAUGACGGUACCUGAAGAAUAAGCACCGGCUAACUACGUGUCAGCAGCCGCGGUAAUACGUAGGGUGCGAGCGUUAAUCGGAAUUACUGGGCGUAAAGCGUGCGCAGGCGGUUUUGUAGGAGCGAUGUGAAAUCCCCGGGCUCAACCUGGGAACUGCAUUGGUGACUGCAAGGCUGGAGUGCGGCAGAGGGGGAUGGAAUUCCGCGUGUAGCAGUGAAAUGCGUAGAUAUGCGGAGGAACACCGAUGGCGAAGGCAAUCCCCUGGGCCUGCACUGACGCUCAUGCACGAAAGCGUGGGGAGCAAACAGGAUUAGAAACCCCUGUAGUCC